AGCCUUCUAUAUCCGUGCUGAGAUUUCGUCACACACCAAACCACAAAAGCUGAUGAUACUUCCAAGAUAAGUGAAGCG
Molecule: microRNA precursor, 78 nt
Filed under: Schistosoma curassoni
Lineage: Eukaryota; Metazoa; Platyhelminthes; Trematoda; Strigeidida; Schistosomatidae
Description: mir-3492 microRNA precursor family
Rfam family: mir-3492 microRNA precursor family
Source: Rfam by way of RNAcentral